AUUGAACGCUGGCGGCAGGCCUAACACAUGCAAGUCGAACGAGUGGCGGACGGGUGAGUUAUGUCUGGGAAACUGCCUGAUGGAGGGGGCUAACUACUGGAAAAGGUAGCUAAUACCGCAUACCGUCAGUUGUGCACAGAUGGGAUUAGCUAGGUGGUGGGGUAACGGCGCACCAAGGCGACGACCCCUAGCUGGUCUGAGAGGAUGACCAGCCACACUGGAACUGAGACACGUUCCAGACUCCUACGGGAGGCAGCAGUGGUGAAUAUUGCACAAUGGGCGCAAGCCUGAUGCAGCCAUGCCGCGUGAAUGAAGAAGGCCUUCGUGUUGUAAAGUACUUUCAGCGGGGAGGCGUUACCCGCAGAAGAAGCACCGGCUAACUCCGUGCCAGCAGCCGCGGUAAUAC
This 406-nucleotide ribosomal RNA is filed under the name uncultured bacterium. RNAcentral's name for it is "partial 16S ribosomal RNA". It matches the Rfam family "Bacterial small subunit ribosomal RNA", at positions 30 to 526 of the family's 1533-position model. The record is from RNAcentral.